This is a non-coding RNA of Pseudopodoces humilis (Tibetan ground-tit), 184 nucleotides long. The record is from RefSeq and is a predicted model, not a curated record. Lineage: Eukaryota; Metazoa; Chordata; Aves; Passeriformes; Paridae.
GGUGUAUCUCAGGUGUAUCUCAGGUGUUCCCAGGUGUAUCUCAGGUGUAUCCAGGUGUGUCCAGGUGUGUCUCAGGGCGGGGGCAGGAGGGGCACCAGCAGCCUGAGCGCCCCCAGCCCCAGCGCCGCCGCCCCCAAUGAACGCACAGGUGUGUCCAGGUGUAUCUCAGGUGUGUCCAGGUGUA